This is a long non-coding RNA of Acanthochromis polyacanthus (spiny chromis), 6592 nucleotides long. RefSeq lists it as uncharacterized. Lineage: Eukaryota; Metazoa; Chordata; Actinopteri; Pomacentridae. The record is from RefSeq and is a predicted model, not a curated record. The transcript is spliced from 3 exons.
UACACUGCUUAAUCCUCAGUAGGAUCUGGAUUGCUGGAGUUUAUCCUAGAUGACUUAUGGUGAAGGCAGGGGACAGCCUGGACAGCGCCACCAGUCUAUCACAGACCUACAUAUACAGACAAACUAUCACACUUCCGUCCACACCAAUUUAGAGUUACCAUUUAACCUAAGCAUGUUUUUGGACUGUGGGAGGAAGCCGAAGUACCUGGAGAGAAAACCCACACAUGCACAGGGAGAACGUGCAAACCGGGGAUCUUCCAGCAGCAAGGCAGCAGUGCUAACCACCAGUGGCGGAUCUUCUGUUGGGCCACGUGGGGGGGGGGGCAGUGCCCCUGUGACCUGACUGACCACCAGUGUGCCCCCCCCCCCCCGAAAAAUUUCGUUCAAUUCAUUCAUUGGUGCCAAUGAAUGCAGCAAUGACAUUGGUUUGAUCUUUCGAUUGUGUUUGGUUUGGAUUUGAAGAAGCUUUGAAGACGUUUUCUGAUGUCAGAGGAGAAGACGAGCAGCUUUGUACCUUUGUGAGUGAAAGUAGCAGUUCCUCCUUAAGGUCAGAGAUUGCAGCAUCUGAGGGCCUCUUCAAAAGAAGACGUAGUUGAUGAAGAUGUUCUGGAGCAGAAAGAUCACGACCAAGCAGCCUGGAGAUCUUUGGCAGCGUCUCCCUCAGGUCCCUCUCUAUCUCCCCACAUCCCAAACAUCCACCAACCACUGGAACACAUCGCCAAAGUUCUGCUGAAGCUCAGCUUCCCCUCAGAAGAAGUGCCGCCAGAUGAAGGAGCCUUUUGAGAGGCAGCUGGCAUCGUGAUUGGACUGUACUUUGGUCUGUUCCAAUCCAGCUUCAGCUCCAGAGACGGCAGGUGGGACGAGUCAACGGAGGCCGAGUGGACGAAGACAUGCAGCUGAGUACAAUCCAGAAAACAACAGAGGAGGAGUGCAGCGGCCCAGGACCAGAACAAACAGAGUAGCAUAGUGUAGCAUAGAUGAGAAAACAUCAUAGUAUAGCCUUUGGGAUGAAAAAAUGGCAUCAUAUACAUAGUAUAUUGUAAAAAUAAGUCAAAGGAAAGAGACAUACAUUGUAGAAUUGUAGUAACUGUGGGCUGACUGAUUUAUUGAUUAUCAGUAUUUUAGUUUUUACCGAUUUAUGGUAAUGAAUACAUUUAAAAAGGGCGCUACUUUGGCUCUGAACCUUUAUCUACCUGUGGUCGCUCUGUCUUCUGGAGUGAUUUGAUUGGUUAUACAGUUGUGCUCAUAAGUUUUCAUACCCUGGCCAAAUUUGUGAAAUAUUGUCCUUUAUUUUUUAAGCAAAUAUGUUUGUUAAUGGAAACAUUUUUCUUUCAUUUAGGACUGGUGUUCAGACAAAGCUAUUUAUUGUCAUGCAAUUGUGUUUGCUCUGAUCAUUGAUGUUUUCAUUAAAGAAUGGAGCAUAUUUUAUAAAUUCUGCCAGGGUAUGUAAACUUAUGAGCACAACUGUACGUCGCGAAUGAAACUCCUUCAACGUAACAUCUGGAAACAAAACAAAAAUGUAUCAACAAAGUUUUCUGUUAGAGUUUGUGUUCAUCUAAGUUUAACUCCAAGAUUUUAAAUACUUUCAUUUACUGCAAAUGAAAGUAAAAUGAAAGUAUCUGCUCCAAAUGUCUCACUAAUAAUCAUUAUCAGCCUUAAAAACUCACAAAACACCUCUCUAUACUCGACCACACUUAGUACAGUCCGGUCCCCCCUUCUAUAAAUCUGAUUAGAAUCUUCCACUUCCUGUUUGUCAAAGUGGCCUUUCACCUGGACAGGUUUUGUUGGAGCUCAUGCAACAAACAUUUUGGGUAAUUGCACUUUAAUAUACAUGGAUGACACUGAAUUUGAGUUCUUUUUAAUGAGACUAAGUUCAGAUGUGUAGCUCUGUCAUUAAAUAGGAAAUUAUUUCCCAGAAUUCACAGAGAAAAGUCUGAAAUGUUUUCUCGGUUAGCGUCCCACAUGUUCUUUGGCUCAGCUAAAGCUAACUCUCUCCACCUUCUGGGUCUCUUGAGUUGCUUGUUGUUAGUAUAUCUUGCUAGAGGUGCUGAAGCUCAGAAAGUCUGAGAUGUUUGUUCAGAAUAAGCUCAUUGUCAAGUCUUAUCUGAACUUUCCUCUUUUGUUUGAACUUUCCCUAAACUUUGGAGUUAAUGACAGAGCAGCACAUCCAGGCUCAUUUAUGUAGAGAUUAAACUUCAGUGUCAUUCAUUGAUGUUAAAGUGCAGUUUUUCACAUGUUUGUUGCACAUGCUCCCAACCAAACCAGUCCAGGUGGAAGACGAUAUGAAGAGAAAGCUUCAGAGCUUUGCGACUAUUAUUGUGAACGUAAUAACAGACUGACACUCACAAGACUGCAAAUAUAUCAUGGUGACUACAAAUACACACUCCAACAAUAUCCUCAGCAUCUCUACUCACUUAUUUUGCCACUCAAAGGGUUACAAACGAACUGGCAGACGUUGAAAAGAGACUAGCAUUCUCAUGUUAAUGAAGCUGUUAGCACUUCCUGUCGAGCCGGUCAUUGGCUGAGGCAGCAUCAUCAUAUGAGCACUGACUGAAAGAAACGAUGCCUUGAAGCAGAAAGUUAACAAAGAAAGUUGAAAACCACCUUCUGAUACCUGAAAUCUCUGAAUUUUCACACAAAGAACGCCCGAACAUGUCAAACUGGUUUCAUAGUAGAACCUUCACUGUAAAAACGUCAUAGUAUGGUGUGUUGCUCAAAAAACAUUACAACCGGCUGUCUAGGGUCGCCGAGGAGCGAAAACAGGACAAGUGCUGGUUUCCAGGGGGUUAGGAGGCUAUUUAUUUGAAAGAGUAAAUUUACAACAACACGUGUUGUCAACAAGCCUUUCCCUUAAUGAGGAUUAAGUGGUGUAUAGGCAAUGGAUGGAUGAGUUAAAUUGAGUUAAGGGAAAUGCUACAAAUGUGUGUGUUCCAAAUAGUUUUAGUGAUGUAUGUAUCUAAACAAAUGUGAAAAACAAAACAAAAGAAAAUUGCAAUGUAUUAUGCCCUCCAUUCCCCUGUUAAUAUACUCUUAUGCUGCAAAGCUAGCAGCAAAGCAGAUCAAACCAGCCCACCGAGAGCUUCAGCUGGAGAAUGAAGGUGACAGUGGCAGAAGGUCAGGAAAAAAACAUGACAAGUAGUAACUGUAACUGAUCAGUAACUGUAAUGUGAUCACUGUACUUAGGAGUAAUGUUUUCGAUUACCGCAUUACAGAUAAAUGUAAUGUGAUUACAAUAGUGUGUGUCAUUUGUUCUGCAUUUCUUUUAACACUGCUCUUCACCAUGCAUACUAUUAGUUUCAACUGACAUCCCAUGACACACACUCUUUCAAGAUACAAACAUAUCUCAGUUCUUAUGCAACCUGUCUUUUAACUCAGCCUCUCAUCUGGCAGCAAGCCUGAGGUUCACACGCAACUGUGUGCAGGCGUGUUGCACUACUGUUCCAAACCCAGUCAGAAAUCACAACAACCCUUUCUCACACUACCUCAGAGCGUUCUGGUUGCGGCUGAGGUGCUUGUGUCUUUAAGAGAGACUUGACCCAAUUAUUUCAAUUACCUUGGGGAAAAAAAGCCAAAGAUAAACUAUAAAUCAAGAAACGGUGGGAGAGACCGAACCUGAUAUUAUCUAUCAGAACAAACAACACCUGCUGCUUGCAUGCGAAGGGUACGCUCGUUUAAAUGACAGACGUGCAGCAAAUGAGCACAUUUUUAUUACCCAUAACUUUUAAAAGGGAAGCGAAACAUAAACAGUGCAUGUGUGAAGAGCAAACUCCUACAAGUGUAAAGAUGGAAUUUCCCCUCUCAUGUGGAGGGGGAGGUGAAAAAAGAGACAAAUUACUUCCCCAGCAGUCUGUGUGUGACUCUUCCAAGAAAGUUCAGCAUAUGAAGGACUGGUGAGGCCUGGUGUCUUUGCCUUCAUGACACCAUUCCUCUUUUAUCUGUGUGGGUGGCUAUGGCUGCUCAGUCACACGCUAUCUCUCAGCUGGGCAGGAAUCCCAUGCUAAGGCCAAUUACUAAAGGUGUCACUUCUCGAGACACCUUCUAACCUCCUCAUAGCUGGAGCACAACACUUAACUGAUCUGUUUUAUUUUUCCACUGGUUUAAAGAAUGUGCUCUCACCAGUAACGUGCUGGUGAAAGUUGGUAGAGUUGGGGUGUUCAUCUCUGUGGAUGUGUGUGUAUGUUUGUCAAGUCUGCUCCUCUUCAUGACUAAUUUGGGGUCAGGCCAGGAUUGCAGCAGUCUAAACCAUGGGGACAGGUGAGUCUUUAGGCCAUCAGAGAAAGGAGGUUAUUACUCUGGAUUCAGAGGAUUUGGCUGCCCCUCCUCGUAAUUAACGGCAGAGAACAGCGCCCAGAAUUUUACUGGCACGUCCUGAGCUCUACGUGACAACAGACAUGCUUUAAGAACUGUGCAGUUGAAAAGACAUGGGGAUUCCCUCUCACACAUACAGCUGAUGUGUGUCACCUUUCACCAAAUGACACCAAUUUCUUUAUCCACCAUCAUUAAACCACUAUGAAUGUCUCAACAUCCUUCAGCAUUGAGGGAUUUAGACCAAAUAUGCCUGCGAUGCUGCUGCGAUAGAAAGUAAAGCGAUAGCUAGAACUUAGCUGUCCUUUCUUUACCUUGCCUCUGAUACAGAGACAACCUCUGGCCACACACACACGUAGAUGUGAGAUUUUUAUCAAGGGCAGGGCAAUGUAUGAACUACAGUCUAAAUAGAGAAAGACUGGUGUGCCUAAUGGCACUCAUCAUGGCAACAGGGGGAGUCUGGCAACUUGCACGUACACACAAACAAAAACAACAUGAUCUGGGGCAGGAUGGUGCCUCCUCAGGUGGUUAUGCAAUGCUCUCUAUGAUCGAGGAGCGAUAUGCUUUUCUACAAAGCUUAUGUAAAUUGAGUGUUUGGGGCCGACAGGAGUCUCUUGCCCAUAAACAUCAGUUUCAUUGCCAAAUAUGAAGUAUUUUGCAUCUACACUUAUGCCAGAAGGUGACUCCUCUGAAAGUCAGAAAAAAUGUCCAACAGAAAUUGGCACUUUUCUUUGUAAGUUUUAAUAUACUGUGAGUGUUCCUGUUUAUGUGAAGACAGGACCUCCCAUAGUCGUGUGGCACGUUGCCAGUCCUUCCAGUAGCCCCCUUCUCUGUGCUGAUACACCUGAGUUCUCCUGACCGACCACUGAACCAGCACAGCAGCAGGGAGGGAGGCAAACUAUGUGUGGUCACUGGAGUAGAACAGUGAGAGCCUGGACCCCAGAAGACCAACGCUUUCCAACCCAGUCCUGUGUAGGAUGCAAGAAAUUCAGGAUGCAGAAAAGAGUGUUACUGUAUCAUACAGAUGCAGCUUUCAAUAUCCAGUGGACAAAACUGCUGCGUCUAAAUGUAAAAUGGAAACAGCAUUCAUUCAAAAUCACAAAACAACUCGUUUUCAACCACCCUCCAGUCUACAACAGCAGAACAGAAUUCCUGAAAUUCAGUUAUAUGCUUGCGGUUUCUGUUUGCCACUUUGGGAUUUAUAGUGGAUCCAUCCGGACACCCUAUGAAAAGUUUCUACUGUCAAUAUCACUGCCAGUUUAUAUGCUACAAAUAUUUAAAAUUAAAGAUGAUAGGUGCUUAUAUUGUUUUGUAUUCAUGAAAUUAUCUUCCAUCCUUCCUUAAUUACUAAAACCUUUUUUAAACAAAAGAUCUUAAAAAGUGAAUAUGGUCAAAACUGGAGCAGCAAAUAGCCUGUGAUAUCUUUGCUCCAAAACAAACUGAAUCCUUCAAUAUCCUUAAUGCAACUCGACAUAUAUUCUUCCACGGUACCCUCCGCUCUCACCUUUUCCAAUCCUAUGUCUCGAAUUUGUAAUGCAGAUUUUCUUUUGAAAAGCACAUUUAAGUAUUAGUUUGUCUUCACAGUUAACUGGAUCUUAUUGCAAAUGUGUGCAUAUUUAAUGCAAUAAUACUUCAUUUGCAUAUGUAAACAUAAAUAAUCAGAAAAUUUGCAGCACAAAAAAAAUAAUUGUCUUAAUGUAUGCAAUCAACUGAGGAAGUUUCAUGGUGAUAUCUAUGAGUUAAAAAGGUCACCUGAUUCAUCUGUAGUGUCUCCCAUUAAAGACAAACCAAACCCACAGGGUUCUCCGACUUCCUCCCACAGUCAAAAAACAAGCUGAGGUUAAUUGGUGAUUCUAAAUCUUCCAGACCGGUGACCUGUUCAGGGUGUCCCCUGCCUUCAUGCCAAGUCAGCUGGGAUAUACUCCAGUCCCCGGAGGACCCUUUAUGGUGAUUAAGUGGUGUAUAGAUAAUGGAUGGAUGGGUGCAUGAAUGUCAUACUAUAGGUUUUAUGCCAUUUUUAUAUAGUACAAGUAAUAAAUAAUAAUAAUAAUGUUUUAUUUGUAUAGCGCUUUUCUGAGCACUCAAAGACACGGUACAGACAGGAAAUAAAAACAAAAACAGACAAAGGAGAGCAGGUUUAAAACACACACAACAGUUAAACAUUAACAGUGAUCCUACAAAGGUGAGUUUUUAUAAGAGAUUUAAAAACAUGACAACAUUUCCAUGAAACAAAGUGACUGUAUGAUUUAACAUCGUAUUUAUUAAACAGAAACAAUAAUUCCCUCAA